Molecule: ribosomal RNA, 253 nt
Filed under: uncultured bacterium
Lineage: Bacteria
Description: partial 16S ribosomal RNA
Rfam family: Bacterial small subunit ribosomal RNA
Source: RNAcentral
UACGUAGGGGGCAAGCGUUAUCCGGAUUUACUGGGUGUAAGGGGAGCGUAGGUGGCAGGGCAAGUCAGAUGUGAAAACCCGGGGCUCAACUCCGGGAGUGCAUUUGAGACUGUCCAGCUGGAGUGCAGGAGAGGUAAGCGGAAUUCCUAGUGUAGCGGUGAAACGCAUAGAUAUUAGGAGGAACACCAGUGGCGAAGGCGGCUUACUGGACUGUAACUGACACUGAGGCUCGAAAGCGUGGGGAGCAAACAGG